This 446-nucleotide ribosomal RNA is filed under the name uncultured bacterium. Its description in RNAcentral is "bacterial SSU rRNA". It matches the Rfam family "Bacterial small subunit ribosomal RNA", at positions 355 to 796 of the family's 1533-position model. The record is from RNAcentral.
UCGAGAAUCUUCGGCAAUGGACGAAAGUCUGACCGAGCGACGCCGCGUGCGGGAUGAAGGUCUUCGGAUUGUAAACCGCUGUCAGAGGGGAUGAAGUAUACGAGAGCAAUCUCUUGUAUUUGACAGAGCCUCAGAGGAAGCACGGGCUAAGUUCGUGCCAGCAGCCGCGGUAAUACGAACUGUGCGAACGUUAUUCGGAAUCACUGGGCUUAAAGGGUGCGUAGGCGGUUUUCUAAGUCACGUGUGAAAUCUUCCGGCUCAACCGGAAAACUGCGCGUGAUACUGGAUGACUUGAGUGAGGUAGGGGUGUGUGGAACUUCCGGUGGAGCGGUGAAAUGUGUAGAGAUCGGAAGGAACGCCAGCAGCGAAAGCGGCACACUGGGCCUUUUCUGACGCUGAGGCACGAAAGCUAGGGGAGUGAACGGGAUUAGAUACCCCCGUAGUCC